This 497-nucleotide ribosomal RNA is filed under the name uncultured bacterium. Its description in RNAcentral is "partial 16S ribosomal RNA". It matches the Rfam family "Bacterial small subunit ribosomal RNA", at positions 28 to 507 of the family's 1533-position model. The record is from RNAcentral.
GAUGAACGCUGGCGGCGUGCCUAAUACAUGCAAGUCGAGCGAACAGACGAGGAGCUUGCUCCUCUGACGUUAGCGGCGGACGGGUGAGUAACACGUGGAUAACCUACCUAUAAGACUGGGAUAACUUCGGGAAACCGGAGCUAAUACCGGAUAAUAUAUUUAACCGCAUGGUUCAAUAGUGAAAGACGGUUUUGCUGUCACUUAUAGAUGGAUCCGCGCCGCAUUAGCUAGUUGGUAAGGUAACGGCUUACCAAGGCAACGAUGCGUAGCCGACCUGAGAGGGUGAUCGGCCACACUGGAACUGAGACACGGUCCAGACUCCUACGGGAGGCAGCAGUAGGGAAUCUUCCGCAAGGGGCGAAAGCCUGACGGAGCAACGCCGCGUGAGUGAUGAAGGUCUUCGGAUCGUAAAACUCUGUUAUUAGGGAAGAACAAAUGUGUAAGUAACUAUGCACGUCUUGACGGUACCUAAUCAGAAAGCCACGGCUAACUACGUG